AACGAACGCUGGCGGCGUGCUUAACACAUGCAAGUCGAACGUGAAUCGACCUUCGGGUCGAGGAAAGUGGCGCACGGGUGAGUAACACGUGGAUAAUCUACCCGAUGGUCCGGGAUAACAUUUCGAAAGGGGUGCUAAUACCGGAUAAGCUCACGGGCUCUUCGGAGCUUGCGGGAAAAGGUGGGGAGCCUUCGGGUCCUACCGUCAUUGGAUGAGUCCGCGUCCCAUUAGCUAGUUGGUGGGGUAAUGGCCUACCAAGGCAACGAUGGGUAGCUGGUCUGAGAGGAUGAUCAGCCACACUGGAACUGAGACACGGUCCAGACUCCUACGGGUGGCUG
RNAcentral lists this ribosomal RNA (338 nucleotides) under uncultured Pseudomonadota bacterium. RNAcentral's name for it is "bacterial SSU rRNA". It matches the Rfam family "Bacterial small subunit ribosomal RNA", at positions 29 to 351 of the family's 1533-position model. The record is from RNAcentral. Lineage: Bacteria; Pseudomonadati; Pseudomonadota.